GACGAACGCUGGCGGCGUGCUUAACACAUGCAAGUCGAACGUGAUUUUUGUGGAAAUUCUUUCGGGAAUGGAAAUGAAAUGAAAGUGGCGAACGGGUGAGUAACACGUGAGCAACCUACCUUACACAGGGGGAUAGCCGUUGGAAACGACGAUUAAUACCGUAUGAGACCACAGAAUCGCAUGAUAUAGGGGUCAAAGAUUUAUCGGUGUAAGAAGGGCUCGCGUCUGAUUAGCUAGUUGGAAGGGUAAAGGCCUACCAAGGCGACGAUCAGUAGCCGGUCUGAGAGGAUGAACGGCCACAUUGGAACUGAGACACGGUCCAAACUCCUACGGGAGGCAGCAGUGGGGAAUAUUGCACAAUGGGGGGAACCCUGAUGCAGCGACGCCGCGUGAGCGAAGAAGGUUUUCGAAUCGUAAAGCUCUGUCCUAUGAGAAGAUAAUGACGGUAUC
RNAcentral lists this ribosomal RNA (450 nucleotides) under Parvimonas micra. Its description in RNAcentral is "bacterial SSU rRNA". It matches the Rfam family "Bacterial small subunit ribosomal RNA", at positions 28 to 479 of the family's 1533-position model. Lineage: Bacteria; Bacillati; Bacillota; Tissierellia; Tissierellales; Peptoniphilaceae. The record is from RNAcentral.